CAGUCGCCGCGGUAAUACGUAGGGUGCAAGCGCUAAUCGGAAUUACUGGGCGUAAAGCGUGCGCAGGCGGUUCGCUAAGACAGAUGUGAAAUCCCCGGGCUUAACCUGGGAACUGCAUUUGUGACUGGCGGGCUAGAGUAUGGCAGAGGGGGGUAGAAUCCCACGUGUAGCAGUGAAAUGCGUAGAGAUGUGGAGGAAUACCGAUGGCGAAGGCAGCCCCCUGGGCCAAUACUGACGCUCAUGCACGAAAGCGUGGGGAGCAAACAGGAUUAGAUACCCCUGUAGUCCCUGUCUCUUAUAC
Molecule: ribosomal RNA, 301 nt
Filed under: uncultured bacterium
Lineage: Bacteria
Description: partial 16S ribosomal RNA
Rfam family: Bacterial small subunit ribosomal RNA
Source: RNAcentral